UAGUCCCGCCCUUCUAGUAUAAAAGAAGCCUGAAUUCUAACCCCGGGAAGGUGUUUUCUUGGCAUCAUACUCUUCUGCCCUCUUUGCGGUCUGCGGAAUUUCUGAAUAAAGUCUCUAGCUAUUCCUUGCCCCAACACCCUGUUUAUCCAUUGAGUGCCCUGUCAUGCAGUGAACAGUACAAACUUGGACUCGGUAACCCUGGAGGUUAUUACAGAAUACUGAAGAGUUAUCUGUGCUAUACCGAAGCCAACUGCCUUUAUGUGUGCUGCUCUAUAGAGAGACCCACAGGACAAGAAUCUGAGGCCAGCCUCCAGCCCACAGCCAAGGAGAAACUGAGGCCUCCAUCCAGCAGCCCAUGGAAAAGUGAACUGUACCAAUAAGGAGUGGCAUCUUCCCCAGUGGAGACAUCUGGAUGCAGUCUUGCAAAAGACCCUGAGCCAAGGACCCAGAGAAGCCUCCCAUAGAUGCUUGACCAAAGAAGCUAUGAGAUUACAAAUGUUGCUCUAAGCCAUUAAACACUGGAGUAAUACGAUCUCUACUUAAUAAGAGUGAGAAAAGAGGGAACAUCAUCUACUUGAAAGAAAAAGUCAUCUAGAAAUGGACAUAAUACCUAUUUAAGCCUUACCAAGAAUAACAGUUCUGUAAGCUAGGAGUUAAAUAUAUAAAAUGAAAUAAUGUGUUUAAAAUGAUAGUGCCUGUUUUAUAUUAUUUCAUUCAAAAUUAAA
This is a non-coding RNA of Sus scrofa (pig), 725 nucleotides long. The record is from RefSeq and is a predicted model, not a curated record. Lineage: Eukaryota; Metazoa; Chordata; Mammalia; Artiodactyla; Suidae.